Molecule: long non-coding RNA, 4784 nt
Filed under: Homo sapiens (human)
Lineage: Eukaryota; Metazoa; Chordata; Mammalia; Primates; Hominidae
Description: HSALNT0406520
Source: RNAcentral
CUUUCCAUGAGUGACUAUUUUUCUCUAGGUUGGGAUCGUUCUCUUUUCCAUUCAUUACUUCUUUUCUCUUGUAUAGCAUAUUUGCCUAGUUGUGCUUUUAUUGUUUUCAUAUUGUUUAUGCCUGCACCAUUCUGACAGGUAACUUCUUGAUCUCUUCCCAACAAUUUGUGACCAGGCUAUUUUGGGCCCGAGCUUAGGUGAGGAGCUGAGAUAUCUUAUGUUGUCUCUACUUUUCUGCAGCCCGAAGGAACGUCUCUGGGUGGAGAAUGAGGAAGUCUCUCUUCCCUGAGAUUUCAUCAGAAGUCCUGCUUUAGGGUACCCUUCUCCAGGGUUGAGAGUAUGGGUACUGCUCAGUAGGAGAUUCCCCUGGGAUCUUGACUGCUCCUGUAAUUCAGAGUAUUGUCUUAGAGACUUUGCUUCCAUCAGAUGGAUUCUGCCGAUGCUUCAGGUUCCCUGGUUCACCCGCUUCUCUGAGCAUCAGUCUCCGUUGUUUUGUUGUGAGACAGAAGAAGGAGAAGGAGGAGGAAGAGAAGGAUGAGGAGGAAAGGAGGAGGAAGAGGAGCAGAAGGAGGAAGGGGAGGGGCAGAACAACCAUCACCAUGGCCAUCCCCCGCCAGAGCACCCACCCCACUUGCUUUCUUCUCCUCUUGGUGUCUGUGAGAAAGCCCAGGAUUUUGUCACCUCCCAGCCCAGUCUCUGGGACGAGGAGCCUCGGUGGCAUGGGUACUCCAGGAUCUUCUGAGUCUUUCUUUGAUCUUCAUUUGGUGUGGUUUACGGCUUUAGGAUAAAACCCUUCCCUUUUUUUGGUUGCUGGGGGUGAUGGGGGGUGAAAUGGCGGUGGGGAGGUUUUUUGCAGCCUUUUACUAGAGUUUCUCACGUGGUUGGUGUUUGCGGCCAAGAACUUCCACAGGGACAGUUCAGUCGGCUGCCUCACUGGGGACUUCCAUCCUGGCAGUGCCUGGGCUCCUCAGGAAGACAGUGGUCAGUUGAGUCCUUGCCAAGCCAGGCUGGCUUCGAGGAGGAGUGAUUGAGGCGAUUGUUUUCAGUGGCUUUGCGACAAGAUCCCACAUUCAGCCUGAUAAUGCAGACUCUUUCAAGGUCAGUCCUCUGGGCUCCAUCUAUAAAACAAAUGUUUGUCAUCCUCCGUGCCCAAAACGGUGCCUGGAACAGAGAGGUGCUCCACAGUUAUGGAGGAAUUGAAUGAAUGAAUGAAAAUUUAAAGAAGAAGGUAGGAGAGGAUCCAUGCAAGGGGCUGGUGGCUUCUCUGCUUCCUGAUUCUGUUUCUUCAUCCCCUCCUGGACACCUGGGCUCUUACAGAAUUGGUUUGUGCAGUGUGAAAGGAAAAUCAAUCUUGGGACCCUAAAAUCACUAAGGUCCACAAAGGGAAAAGUCAAGCUGGGAACUGCUUAGAGCAAACCUGCCUCCCAUUGUAGUCCUAAAAAAGAUGGCUACUAAGAUAAAAAAGCCACAUACCUCCCUCACAAGAAAUUUCCUUGUGGACCAAGGACAGACAGAACUCAAAGUCAUCCCUCUGUUCACUGAGAUGAAUGCAUAUCUGCCUCCUUUGGAGAGGCUCAUCAGAAACGGAAAAGAAUGCAACCAUUUGUGUCUUAUCUACCUAUGACCUGGAAGCCCCUCCCCGGUUCCAGUUGUCCCACCUUUCUGGACAGAAGCAAUGUACAUUUUACAUAUAUUGAUUGAUGUCUCAUGUCUCCCUAAAAUACAUAAAACCAAGCUGUGCCCCAACCACACUGGGCACAUGUGGUCAGGACCUCCUGAGGCUGUGUCAUGGGCAGGCACCCUUAUCUUUGGCAAAAUAAACUUUCUAAAUUGACUGAGACCUAUCUCAAAUGUUUGGGAUUCACAGCAGGGAAUGAUGGAGGAUUGGAAAGUGCCUCGAGGGGAGGAGGGCUGCUCUUUGCUGUGAGGCUCUGUUCGGGUGCACAUUUUGGGAGCUGGCCUGGGGCUUUCCUUUCCUUUGUUUCCGUGGCAGCCAGAGCAAGGUGUGGCCCCUCCCCGUGGAGCUCAUGGUGCUGUGGAUAAAGGAUAUGUAGACAGGCAGUCACAGCCUCCCCACUCUGUGAUGGGCAGGGCAGGAAAGUUAGAGGGCAUGAGGUAGGGUAAGCCCAGGAAGGCUUCCUGGAGGAGGUGGCACUUUGACCUGAGUGGAGACCAGAGUGAGAUUCUGAGAGUUUAUCAGGUGGACCCAGGGAGGGGGAGGGAGUGGAAGAGCAUCCCUGAUGGGGACUGGCACAUACCAAGACUUGGGGCGAGAGCUGCAGGCUAGAAUCUGGGGGCAUCAUCUUAGACAGAGUCUUUAUACGUCCACACAGAGUUCAAGAAAACUGAGAAUAGACUCACAUAAUCCUGAACAUAGGUCAAUUUUGAAUUCCAGAUGGCAAGAAUAAAGAGAAUGAGGCAGACAGUAAUGGCUAAGUGAUUUCCAGAAUUGAAGAAAGGCCCAAGUUCUCCAGCUGAAGAUGUUCACUGAGUCCUAAAUAGGAUCAUUAAAUAGAAAUGCACACCUGGGCCCAAUGUUGGACAACAAAAAGGCAAACAAAGCAUUUUUAAAGCAAACACAGAGGAAAUACAAAUUACUACAAUAAAGAGAGAGGGGAGGAAGGAAGAAUAGGAAGAGAAAGAAGAAGAAAUUUAAGAGGAGGAGGAAGAAGAGAAGAAGGAAGAGGAGGAGGAGGAAGAAAAGGAAGAGGAGGAGGAAAAAGAGGAGGAGGCAGAGGAGGAGAAGGCGGAGGAGGAAGAGGAGGAGGAAGAGGGAGCAGAGGAAGAGGCAGAGGAAGAGGAGGAGGACCCGGCGGAGGAGGCGGAGACGGAGGCGGCAGAGGAGGAAAAGGAAGCAGAAGAGGAAGAGGAGGAGGACGCGGCGGAGGAGGCAGAGGAGGCGGAGGCGAAGGAGGCGGCGGCGGAGGAGGCAGCGGAGGAGGAGGCGGAGGAGGCGGAGGAGGACUGACAAUAGCAACAAUAACUGGCUGAAAGCCAGCUUUGUAAUAUCCUCAAACUUCUGAAGGAAAAUAAUGAAGGCUAGAAUCCUCUACCAAACUAAAACCAAUGAACACCCUUUAAGUCUAAUGCAAGAAAUUCAGACAAACGGAGCACAAGUUAUGACAAGAUGGUUCUGUUGAAUGGAUAAAAAUGUGGGCAGCCAGCCCGGCACGGUGGCUCACGCCUGUAAUCCCAGCACUUUGGGAGGCCGAGGCAGGCAGAUCACUGGAGGUCAGGAGUUCAAGACCAGCCUGACCAACAUGGUGAAACCCCAUCUCUACCAAAAAUACAAAAAUUAGCCAGGUGUGGUGGCAGGCACCUGUAAUCCCAGCUACUUGGGCAGCUGAGGGAGGAGAAUCGCUUGAACCUGGAAGGGGGAGGUUGCAGUGAGCCAAGAUCACACCACUGCACUCCAGCCUGGACUAUGGAGUGAGAUUCUGUCUCAAAAAUAAAAUAAAAUAAAAUGUGGGCAGGCUAAUACAUCUGUGAGUCCAGGAGCAGCUUUUCUCCUAGCACUCGAACCAUGAAAGCAAAAUGGCUCCCUCUAUUUUAGCAGCUGCCAUUACUAACAAUAAAGUGCUGAAUAGAAGUCUGUAUAAAAAGAAUAUUUAUAGCACAUGUCCUCAAACAUGUAUCGGGAAAUACCAAUUUAUAAUAAAAAGUAAAUAAGGGUACUAUGGUGAAAUGUAUUAUUUAACCCCGGAGCAGCGCACGUCUUCUGCAAGUUAGAUUUUGGAGGUGGGGCACGGUGGCUCAUACCUGCAAUUCCAGCAUUUUAGGAGGUUAUUGCCUUUGGAGCUAACACCCCGGUUACUAAGGACUCGGCAGACCCUUCCCUCCUACUGUUCCCUGGGUCAAGAUCAUUUUCCCCAGGGUUUUAGGAUCAUUUUCUAAGAGGCCCAGGAGACUGGAUUGAAAAUGUAAAAAAAAAAAUAUUUAAGCACAUGUCUUCAAACAUGUAUCAGGAAAUAUUAAUUUAUAACAAAAUUAAACAAGGUUACUAUGAUGAAAUUUACUGUUUAAUCCCUGAGCAGCACGUGGUCUUUUACAAGUUAAACUUUGGAGGCCAGGCGUGGUGGCCCAUACCUGUAAUUCCAGCACUUUGGGAGGCUGAGGCAGGCAGGUCACUUGAGGCUAGGAGUUUGGGACGAGGCUAGGCAACAUGGCAAAACGCCUUCUCUACAUAAAAAAAUUCAAAAGUUAGCUGGAUGUGGUGGUGUGCACCUGUAGUCCCAACUAAUCCAGAGGCUGAGGUGGGAGGAUCACUUGAGUCUGGGAGGCACAGACCACAGUGAGCUGAGAUCCCACCACUGCACUCCAGCCUGGGAGGUAGAGCCAGACCCUGUCUCAAAACAAAAACAAAAAAGUUAGACUUUGGGGUAAUAAAGACAGUGCAUGCCAAUCAUAACUGCCUAGAGGAAUAGAACACUGCUGUCAAGAGUGGACGGAAAGGGAGAGAAGCCCUGCCUUGCUCCAGGUCAGCAUCCUGGACAGUUCUGCAGCAGCUCUGCGGAUGGGAGAUGCAGCGGUGACUUGCCAGGGCCGCCAUGUGUUGCUGUCCGGUGGAAGACAAGCCUGGACUUUGAAAUUGUUUUCCCAACAGAAAAGGUCACUGGAAAUAAGUGGUGUGUUGUCUCUACUCUGUGAAACAUACACUCUGAUGGGGAAGCGAAGCGCAGAGAUGCUCAUCUAGUGUAUGUGAAUUCAAUUCUGUUUGCUGCAGAGAGGGAGUCAGGGAGACAGGGCGAGCCAGGGAGAGGGGGGGAGCCGGGGAGAGGUGGGGA